GCCCAUAUUCCUCUGAAGCUCCAUGUUUCCUCGCUAUCAACUGGCUCUGUAUAUGUAUAUUUUACUUACCCUAGGGGAAAUCAGACCCCCUGUGAUGAGGCAUCCAAGUUAAGAAGCCCAUGUGGCAAGAAAACAAGUCCUGACAAAAACACAUGGAUAGACAUGGACUCAGAUCACUGCCCACCUCUGCAACUGAAUUUCCAGACCACAACCCCAGACAGCAACUUGUCAGUAAGGUAA
Molecule: long non-coding RNA, 240 nt
Filed under: Mustela putorius furo (domestic ferret)
Lineage: Eukaryota; Metazoa; Chordata; Mammalia; Carnivora; Mustelidae
Description: lncRNA (ENSMPUG00000024072.1)
Source: RNAcentral